Molecule: unclassified non-coding RNA, 278 nt
Filed under: Amphinema sp. (in: basidiomycete fungi)
Lineage: Eukaryota; Fungi; Basidiomycota; Agaricomycetes; Atheliales; Atheliaceae
Also listed under: 2 other names
Description: partial contains 5.8S ribosomal RNA, internal transcribed spacer 2, and large subunit ribosomal RNA
Rfam family: 5.8S ribosomal RNA (bases 1-52)
Source: RNAcentral
AACGCACCUUGCGCUCCUUGGUAUUCCGAGGAGCAUGCCUGUUUGAGUGUCAUUAAAUCCUCAACCCCGUCCGUCGGUCAGGGCUUGGACUUUGGAGCGUGCUGGCGAAGGUCGGCUCCUCUUUAAAUGCAUCAGCGGAGAAAAACAAACCUUUUCCCCCCUUCAGCGUGAUAACUGCGUUGCGCUGUGGUCGCGAAAGGGUCCGCUCAUAAUUGUCCUCGGACAAACACCAAAUCUGUUUUGACCUCAGAUCAGGUAGGACUACCCGCUGAACUUAA